This is a small nucleolar RNA of Fukomys damarensis (Damara mole-rat), 127 nucleotides long. Lineage: Eukaryota; Metazoa; Chordata; Mammalia; Rodentia; Bathyergidae. The record is from Ensembl.
GGGGUGUGCUCGGAGCAGGGGGCCUGAAGAAUGGCUUUUCUGUUUAAACACUCCCAACAGGAACCUGAGGCCAUUGUGAAGAGGGCACAAAAUGUGUGGCCCUACUAUCCACAAGUGCCUUACAUGU